This 818-nucleotide ribosomal RNA is filed under the name Phacidium mollerianum. RNAcentral describes it as "eukaryotic LSU rRNA". It matches the Rfam family "Eukaryotic large subunit ribosomal RNA", at positions 87 to 920 of the family's 3401-position model. The record is from RNAcentral. Lineage: Eukaryota; Fungi; Ascomycota; Leotiomycetes; Phacidiales; Phacidiaceae.
CGGCGAGUGAAGCGGCAACAGCUCAAAUUUGAAAUCUGGCUCUUUCAGGGUCCGAGUUGUAAUUUUGUAGAGGAUGUUUUCGGGUGUGGCUCCGGUCUAAGUUUCUUGGAACAGGACGUCAUAGAGGGUGAGAAUCCCGUAUGUGACUGGUAGCCUAUGCUCAUGUGAAACUCCUUCGACGAGUCGAGUUGUUUGGGAAUGCAGCUCAAAAUGGGUGGUAAAUUUCAUCUAAAGCUAAAUAUUGGCCAGAGACCGAUAGCGCACAAGUAGAGUGAUCGAAAGAUGAAAAGCACUUUGGAAAGAGAGUUAAACAGUACGUGAAAUUGUUGAAAGGGAAGCGCUUGCAACCAGACUUGCAUGUAGCUGAUCAACCGGUGUUCUCACCGGUGCACUCAGUUACGUUCAGGCCAGCAUCGGUUUCGACGGUUGGAUAAAGGCCUUGGGAAUGUAGCUCCUCUCGGGGAGUGUUAUAGCCCAGGGUGCAAUGCAGCCUGUUGGGACCGAGGACCGCGCUUCGGCUAGGAUGCUGGCGUAAUGGUUGUAAGCGACCCGUCUUGAAACACGGACCAAGGAGUCUAACAUCUAUGCGAGUGUUUGGGUGUCAAACCCAUACGCGUAAUGAAAGUGAACGGAGGUGAGAACCCUUAAGGGUGCAUCAUCGACCGAUCCUGAUGUCUUCGGAUGGAUUUGAGUAAGAGCAUAGCUGUUGGGACCCGAAAGAUGGUGAACUAUGCCUGAAUAGGGUGAAGCCAGAGGAAACUCUGGUGGAGGCUCGCAGCGGUUCUGACGUGCAAAUCGAUCGUCAAAUUUGGGUAUAG